CUCCAUUGAUCUACAUGCUUGCGUGCAUGUGGGAGGAGAUGUUUUUGGGGGCAGCAGACUCUUUCCGUUGCGUUCCAUCCAGUGAGGAAGUCCGCCUUGUGGAAUGUAUAUUCACUAGGGGGUUUGGGGAGGCAGCGGAGCUUACCAAGCAAGAGGGUCGAGGCACUCUUUCAUUAUUUAUUUUUAUUUUUAACUCUAGCUAGUGACAGCAUUUGAACUUCCGGAUCCAGUGUUACAUGCCUGUUUAUAAAUAGUAGCUAGCUGGCUACAUGUCAGGCUAGUCUGGUCUAUGCUUUACAACGCUACUUUUUAGCCACAGAAGAUGAAGCAAACAUGUCUCUCUAUGAAUGGCAAUAGAUUGAACUACUCAGGAGAAUAAAAAAUUGCUGACAAAAUGGUGAGUUGGUCCAAUGAAGAGAAUACACGAGCUGGAGAAUACACGUCUGUUGUUCAACCCAUGUGAAGCAAUGAUGAGGAAAGACAUUUUCAAUACUUUCGGAUGUCGGAUGCCAGAUUUGAGGACUUGCAUCAGCGACUUCCCCCUAACCUCUAGCACGAGUGAACUCACAGCUUGACCGUCAUUGCUUCAGGAAGGCUGUCUUUGACAUGUUUUUUUUUGCCAGUGGCAGCACACAGAAGUGUGCCACGCAAUCUGGCAUGUCCUGAAGGAGGAUUUUGUUGCUUAUCCCUCUGUGGCAAAAAAUGGGCUUCACCAUGGUCGACGUGAAUGCAUAGCCGAGAGGGAGAUGCGGGAAUCUUUUCCAGAAGCAAGUUGGGCUCCCAACUCAUUACAGGCCAUCUGCCACUACCAAGGUCAGAGAGCUUGCCGGGGACCCAAACACAGAGCCUAUGUUUUCGUGGAAGAUGAGGCAUUCCCUCUGAUGGUAAAUUUAAUGCGACCAUAUCCAGAUUCUUCUGGCUUUAAUGGCGACAAGAAGAUCUACAACUAUCACCAUUCAAUAGCCAGAAGAAUUUCAGAGAACUGCUUUGGGAUCCUUGCUGCAAGAUGGAGGAUCCUGAGACGAGCCCUUGAGGUUGCCCCAGCUGUUCAAGUGCCUUUUCAGGAUACUGCGAUCACGUGUGGCAGCCUACAGUAAAUGUUGGAGUGUGGUUUGGAAAACGUGUGCACAUACACUAAGUGUACAAAACAUUAGAAACACCUUCAGAACAGUCGCUAUGCGUCGGGGCAUGGACUACAAGGUGUUGAAAGUGUUCCACAGCGAUGCUGUCCCAUGUUUAUUCUAAUGCUUCCCACAGUUGUGUCAAGUUGGCUGGAUGUCCUUUGGGUGGUGGACCAUUCUUGAUACACAGCAGUGUUGCAGUUCUUGACAUAAACCGGUGCGCCUGGCACCUACUACCAUACCCCAUUCAAAGGCACUUGAAUAGUUUUACCCUCUGAAGGGCACACAUACACAAUACAUGUCUCAAGUCUUACAAAUCCUUUUUUAAUCUGUCUUCUCCCCUUUAUCGACACUGAUUGAAAAGUUGUCUGGACUACGAGGGACCUCCGCCGACGACUCAAUCUGCACCCAUCGCAUCAUUGUCCAUAACAAACAGGGUAGGCAGGGGUAUUAAGGGUGUGCAACAUUUAUUUUCUGUUAAAUAAAUAACAUUUUUUAGCAAAGAAUUUUUUUUUAGUAAAGAUCUUUGUCGAAAACGUGUUGUGAUUGGAGCUCUGGAUUUUCUACACUGCAUUUUUUAAACAAUGCAGUGUAGAAUCUUUUAAACAAGAUGUGCUUUAGAAAUAGCAACUUGGAUUAAAUAUGACGAUGUUUGCCUUUCCGUGCUUUGUAUAGCCUCUACUGAAUAUGGUGCAAAUGUAUGCUCAGAUAUGUCAACUUCAUGUGAAGAAGCACAAUGAUUUUCGGCACCUGAACAGGUAAAAUUAUUUGUCCGCUGGGCAUUUCAUGAGUCGAAUUUAUCCCAUUUUCUAUCAGACAUAUGAGGAUGAAAAUUACAUAUCAUGUAAGGAUAUCUAUUGAAAUUAUGAAAAAAUAAAUAAAUACGGAUACAUAAAUGAUUAGGUGAUGACUACAGAUAUGAUACAUUUCUGAAAAUAUAUGGAUCUGCCUAAUUAUAAAGGCUUAGAUAUGUCAGCAUGUUGACACAUACCCUUUCCAGAGUUAGAAUAUUAGACAAAUAUGUAAGCGGGUGCACACGCAUCAGAUGUGUGUCUUGAAAAUAUCUCACCCCAGAUAUCUCCCUGGACUCAUAUGGUUUUGCAACUCCGGGAGAAGAGGAAUAGCAGAGCGGCAUGCAAAACUGCAUAUGGGCUCAUCUGGAAAAGAGAGGCUAUGUGUAGCUAAAGAAGCAAAUUCAUAUCAACCCAUCAUGUGUUGGCUAAAUAGUAAGCCCAAUGUUGCAGUAAUGUAUCAUCACCAGCCAAUGUGAUCACACUAUCGCACGCUUUCUCUCCUAUCAAACACCCACCAGUUAUUUUGGCUCUAGACAGAUAGCCUACUAGCAAUUUGUAGUUGCAUGCAUAUUAACCCAUCAUUUUCUUAGCUAAAUAAGGGCCUUUAAAUAUUUACCUGUUAAGUCAGGAAAAAAAUAUGAAAUGGCAGUGUGCAUUAGAGGCCAUUGCGGGUCCCAUAUGGACCCAAUAUGCAUAAAUGUAUACAAAAUAUAUAGAGACCGGAUCCAAGGACAACUAGACCCGUUCCAUAUAUACCUGAUCGGAUUCAGACUGGUCCGAUCCAAGUGAGGGAAGCAGCAGAAAGUACAUUUUUAAGCUACUUUAUUAACCGGAGCUGAUAAAGCGUGAUGGGAGAAGAGGUAGAGAGAGGUGACACUUUAGCAGGGGCUGCGCUGUGUGUGUAGACCACUGUGAGUGUGAGCAAGUGACAUGGGGAGCAGGGAGGGAUAGACAGCAACUAACCAACCCGACUCACGCCAUAGUAGACUAAUAGCUGCCAUAGCUAGGUUAUUUAUCAUCCAAUAUGAAUACGUAGUAGCUACCUGUCUUGAGCGCAUCAAACAGGGAGAAGCUAGUUAAGCUAGCUAGCUAGGCCUACAGCUACAAACAACAACUCAGAAUAUAAAGUAGCAACCUACUUGUUAGGCUACAGCGACCAAGAGCUUUCAUUCUUCUUUAACUUUUAAUUCCAUCAUUUUAAUUUCAUCUUCCAUUGAUUAGAUAUUUCCUAACUUUUGCCCCAUAUGAAGGCUCUAUGACUGUAACAACUGCUCCCACGUGGCGCAUCUCAGUGCAAGAGGCGAUACUACAGUCCCUGGUUCGAAUUCAGGCUGAAUCACAUCCGGCCGUGAUUGGGAGUCCCAUAGGGAGGCGCACAUUUGGCCCAGCGUCGUCCGGGUUUGGCCGUCAUAUGUUCUUAACUGACUUUCCUAGUUAAAUAAAGAUUAAAUUAUUUAAAAAUUAAA
Molecule: long non-coding RNA, 3381 nt
Organism: Oncorhynchus nerka (sockeye salmon)
Lineage: Eukaryota; Metazoa; Chordata; Actinopteri; Salmoniformes; Salmonidae
Exons: 2
Source: RefSeq, a predicted model, not a curated record